Molecule: transfer RNA, 71 nt
Filed under: Phrynosoma platyrhinos (Desert horned lizard)
Lineage: Eukaryota; Metazoa; Chordata; Lepidosauria; Squamata; Phrynosomatidae
Description: tRNA-OTHER
Source: RNAcentral
GUCAAUGUGGUGUAGUGUUUUGGUGUUGGACUAUGACUCUGGAGACCAGGGUUCGAAUCCCUGUUUGGCCA